Molecule: ribosomal RNA, 279 nt
Filed under: uncultured bacterium
Lineage: Bacteria
Description: partial 16S ribosomal RNA
Rfam family: Bacterial small subunit ribosomal RNA
Source: RNAcentral
UGCCAGCCGCCGCGGUAAUACGGAGGGUGCAAGCGUUGUUCGGAAUUAUUGGGCGUAAAGCGCGUGUAGGCGGUUCGUUAAGUCUGAUGUGAAAACCCAGAGCUCAACUCUGGGACUGCAUUCAAAACUGCUAGAAUUGAGGAUGGACGGAGAAAGCGGAAUUCCACGUGUAGCGGUGAAAUGCGUAGAUAUGUGGAAGAACACCGGUGGCGAAGGCGGCUUUCUAGUUUAUUCCUGACGCUGAGGUACGAAAGCAAGGGGAGCAAACAGGAUUAGAUA